CGCUGUUCCUGUGAAUCGCCUUGUGAGCCCAUACUCACCGAAGGCUGCGAGUAACGGCAACCACAACGAGGAUUAACCUUACCACGCCAUGUGCCACUGCCGCUGAUGUGCAAAGGACGCAGGUGCUGCCAAGCACCCCCUGCUUGAUUGUACAAGGUGACCUGAUGAAGCCAAGGGCGUGGAUGCUGUCCAUUGAGGAACAAGUAGUGAUGGGACCACACAGCAACAUCUUGAGCGGGUUGGCUGCACUUUUUGCCAGCUUCUACAAUCUUAAUCUCCAGUACCCUGAGAAAAGUUCA
Long non-coding RNA from Acanthochromis polyacanthus (spiny chromis), 299 nucleotides. RefSeq lists it as uncharacterized. The record is from RefSeq and is a predicted model, not a curated record. The transcript is spliced from 3 exons. NCBI's taxonomy places the organism in Eukaryota, Metazoa, Chordata, Actinopteri, Pomacentridae.